GACGAACGCUGGCGGCGUGCUUAACACAUGCAAGUCGAACGGAAAGGCCCUGCUUUUGUGGGGUGCUCGAGUGGCGAACGGGUGCGUAACACGUGAGUAACCUGCCCUUGACUUUGGGAUAACUUCAGGAAACUGGGGCUAAUACCGGAUAGGAGCUCCUGCUGCAUGGUGGGGGUUGGAAAGUUUCGGCGGUUGGGGAUGGACUCGCGGCUUAUCAGCUUGUUGGUGGGGUAGUGGCUUACCAAGGCUUUGACGGGUAGCCGGCCUGAGAGGGUGACCGGCCACAUUGGGACUGGGAUACGGCCCAGACUCCUACGGGAGGCAGCAGUGGGGAAUAUUGCACAAUGGGCGGAAGCCUGAUGCAGCAACGCCGCGUGCGGGAUGACGGCCUUCGGGUUGUAAACCGCUUUCGCCUGUGACGAAGCGUGAGUGACGGUAAUGGGUAAAGAAGCACCGGCUAACUACGUG
This 468-nucleotide ribosomal RNA is filed under the name uncultured bacterium. Its description in RNAcentral is "partial 16S ribosomal RNA". It matches the Rfam family "Bacterial small subunit ribosomal RNA", at positions 28 to 507 of the family's 1533-position model. The record is from RNAcentral.